CGACUUAUCUGUUGUCGUAUGUUGAAAUGUUGGGCAUCAUGAUCCAAUCAAAAGAAUAUGCAGGGAAAAGUGAUUUAGAUAACUCCAAUGCCAAGAAAAAUCAAGGUAGCCAGCGUACCCUGCCUGGAACAUGGCUACCAGGGUCCUAACCUGUAGCCAAGCCUGGAGAGAGGCUCAAGGGCGAUGAUCAGUUGGCCCAGCCGGGCUCAAGCUGAAGAAGCUAUAUGGGUCAAUUCUUCUGUGGGACACUACUUUUGGAUUUGUGGAUCGGGCAGAGGUCCUGGUGCUCUGAUGCACACAUCUGCGGUGAUGUGGAUCGAUGAGCGUCUUUCAUAGAGGAGCUGGGCUCUCCCUUAGAGAUGGGUCUCUUUCAGAUCCGACAACAUCUAGAACAUGAAAUCAUGACAGUGAAGUUUGUAUGUAGUUAAAUCCUAGAACCUCAACAGGGCUAAAAUAAUGAAACAGGUUUCCUGAGGACGUGGGCUUCCAUGCAAACCAUGACACCAGAUGGGCCAGGUCAACUUGGAGUGCAGAUCAACACAGCCCUGUCCUCCAGCACCAUCAGCAGCAGCAGCAACCCCUCAACAGCAACAUUGCACCCCAUCAGACUAGCUGGUGUCACAGGAGUGAAGAGGCCUCACCUUUGUGUCUUGAGAAAUCAACAAGAGUCAUCAGCGCCUCAAAGUUUAAUGGAAAUUGGGACCCACUGAGAGAGAGAAUUCCUGUGGACCUGCCUGAACUGAAGCUUUGGAUUCACUAACUGGAAAUCCUUCUGUUGUCACAUUCUGUUGUUACUUCACUGUAAAUAAACGCACUGAACUUAAUCCUGCA
Long non-coding RNA from Astatotilapia calliptera (eastern happy), 831 nucleotides. NCBI's taxonomy places the organism in Eukaryota, Metazoa, Chordata, Actinopteri, Cichliformes, Cichlidae. The record is from Ensembl.